This 576-nucleotide ribosomal RNA is filed under the name Magnaporthaceae sp. LC8-6. Its description in RNAcentral is "eukaryotic LSU rRNA". The stretch from base 200 to 353 matches the Rfam family "5.8S ribosomal RNA". The record is from RNAcentral. Lineage: Eukaryota; Fungi; Ascomycota; Sordariomycetes; Magnaporthales; Magnaporthaceae.
AAAAANUGUAACAAGGUCUCCGUUGGUGAACCAGCGGAGGGAUCAUUAAAGAGUUGCAAAACUCCAACCCCUGUGAACCUUACCUUUACUGUUGCUUCGGCGGUUGGCGCCGGCGCCCAGAUGGGCCUGGAGGUCGCCGCCGGAGGUUCGAAACCCUGAAUUUUAGUGUAUCUCUGAGAAAGAAAACAAAAUAAAUUAAAACUUUCAACAACGGAUCUCUUGGUUCUGGCAUCGAUGAAGAACGCAGCGAAAUGCGAUAAGUAAUGUGAAUUGCAGAAUUCAGUGAAUCAUCGAAUCUUUGAACGCACAUUGCGCCCGCCGGUACUCCGGCGGGCAUGCCUGUCCGAGCGUCAUUUCACCACUCAAGCACAGCUUGGUGUUGGGGCACCCGGCCGCCUGGCGGUCGGGGCCCCCAAGUACAUCGGCGGUCCCGCUGGGGGCUCCGAGCGCAGUAGCACGCGGUAAAACGCGCCCUCGCUCGGCGGCCUCUUCGGGCUUCCAGCCGCUAAACCCGUCUACCGACGCCCUUCGAGUUGACCUCGGAUCAGGUAGGAAUACCCGCUGAACUUAAGCAUA